Molecule: non-coding RNA, 218 nt
Filed under: Salimicrobium jeotgali
Lineage: Bacteria; Bacillati; Bacillota; Bacilli; Caryophanales; Bacillaceae
Description: T-box sequence
Rfam family: T-box leader
About the family: Uncharged tRNA acts as the effector for transcription antitermination of genes in the T-box leader family. T-boxes are found upstream of many aminoacyl-tRNA synthetase genes and some amino acid biosynthetic genes usually in Gram-positive bacteria. The anticodon of a specific tRNA base pairs to a specifier sequence within the T-box motif, and the NCCA acceptor tail of the tRNA base pairs to a conserved bulge in the T-box antiterminator hairpin.
Source: RNAcentral
GAAAAAACCCUGACGGGGAGAAGUAGGGACUUAUCUCUUACCCAGAGAGAACCGGUACAGCUGAGAACGGUUUUAAGAGAAUGUCCCGAAAUGCACCCCUGAGUCUUCCGUCGAACCUGCAGUAGACGAAGCGGCACCUUCCCGUUAUAGAAGUGAGAGGGAGGAACAGUCAGACUGUUCUUCCAAACAGAGUGGAACCACGCGGAAGCGUCUCUGUG